GAUGAACGCUGGCGGCGCGCCUAACACAUGCAAGUCGAACGAAUAAAGCACCUUCGGGUGUGUAUCAAGUGGCGAACGGCUGAGUAACACGUGUGCAUCCUGCCCCUCUCAUUGUGGUAGCAACUGGAAACCGUGGAGCAUACCGAAUACUUCGGGACUUCCUCCUGGAAGACGCGAGAAAGCUCCGGCGGGGGGGGAUGGGCCCGCGGGCUGUUAGCUUGUUGGGGGGGUAAUGGCCUACCAAGGCUAUGAUGGGUAGCCGGGCUGAGAGGGGGACCGGCCACAUUGGGACUGAGAUAAGGCCCAGACUCCUACGGGAGGCAGCAGUGGGGAAUAUUGCACAAUGGGCGGAAGCCUGAUGCAGCAACGCCGCGGGCGGGAUGACGGCCUUCGGGUUGUAAACCGCUUUCGCCUGGGACGAAGCGGGAGUGACGGUAAUGGGUAAAGAAGCACCGGCUAACUACGUG
Molecule: ribosomal RNA, 467 nt
Filed under: uncultured bacterium
Lineage: Bacteria
Description: partial 16S ribosomal RNA
Rfam family: Bacterial small subunit ribosomal RNA
Source: RNAcentral